UGUGUUACUAGAUUUACACAAUGUGCACCACAAUGCACAUACAAAGCCAAUGGCUGUUCUCUAUUCAACACUGCCUGUGCUCCUGAGAAUUUCCCUGCCAUAUUGGCUGCUCCAUCGUAAGUCUGACCUCGCAAGACAGAGAUUGGAAUAUUUAAUCUCAGGAGCACAUCAAUAGCUAGUGUGAUAGGAUGAAUGAGGUAAGUGGCUGUGAUUGACACAUGUGAGCACCAAUCAGCAGUGAGUGCUGAGUAUUUCAGGACGUGUUUGGUUUAGCCUGGGAUAUGUCAUGUCCGGAUCCUCCCCUUUUUGUGUUGAUGGUGGCUUCAGGUAUGCGCUGCUGACAGGUAGCAUUUGCUAAUCUUUAAUGACAAACACUGAUACUUAUGAUUUUGUUUGUUGCACCCCAGCCUGUCUGUUUUAUUAGUGUUUUCAUCUGUUGCUGUGGACUGUAUGAUUGCCCUUUUUAGCUUUGCAGCGGGGUAUUUGAACGCUGCGUGUCCAGCCUGCGAACUGAUAGUAAGCUCAUCUACUCUCGUUGUGCUCAUUUGGAUUCUCCCUCUUUGGUCCUGGUGAUUAUCGUCGCGACUCUUUUGCUCUCUGCUACUGUUGUACACUUCACAAACACUUCCAUUACCAUUACCUAGGAAGACUGCUGCUGUCGUUAUGGUUGUUCAUGCGGAUUGUUAAUUCUCUUCAGAUAACUCGGGGUGGAUGAAACUUCAGCUCACGUGACCAUACUUUUGUUAUGGACUGCGGCCUCGUCUGAGCCCCUUUCUCCUUUCGUGAACUGUGUGGGCUUGUGCUUGAAUACUUGUGUAUUGCUGAGCCCUUACUGUAGUGGCUUUUACCCACAUUGUUAUGAUUGAGUUGUAAUUCCAUAUGACUGGUUUCUGUAUGUAUUUUCGUUUAUGAGGUUUGUUUUUGUUUUUGAUUUCCUUUCAGGAGCUGGGGUCCCACGGGUGGAGGAUCUUUUGUGGUGGUGUUGGUGCUGCUUCAACGUUUGCUGUGUGACACUUUUUGAAGUGUGUGCGUGUGAUCUGAGUUCACGGUGUGUAGAAGUGUGCUUUUGGAUAACUAGUGCUGGUGAUCAAUCCGGUGGGUAACCUCAGCCCUGUAAGUUAGUGUAUUUUGUUUC
Molecule: long non-coding RNA, 1135 nt
Organism: Cyprinus carpio (common carp)
Lineage: Eukaryota; Metazoa; Chordata; Actinopteri; Cypriniformes; Cyprinidae
Exons: 3
Source: RefSeq, a predicted model, not a curated record